This 571-nucleotide ribosomal RNA is filed under the name Pichia kluyveri. Its description in RNAcentral is "eukaryotic LSU rRNA". It matches the Rfam family "Eukaryotic large subunit ribosomal RNA", at positions 67 to 657 of the family's 3401-position model. The record is from RNAcentral. Lineage: Eukaryota; Fungi; Ascomycota; Pichiomycetes; Pichiales; Pichiaceae.
CCAAAUGCAUGCUCAGUAGCGGCGAGUGAAGCGGCAAGAGCUCAGAUUUGAAAUCUCACCUAGUGUGCGAGUUGUAAAUUGCAGGUUGGAGUCUCGGGUUAGACGUGUGUGCAAGUCCCUUGGAACAGGGUGCCACUGAGGGUGAGAGCCCCGUAGCGUGCAUGUCGACACCUGUGAGGCCCUUCUGACGAGUCGAGUUGUUUGGGAAUGCAGCUCUAAGUGGGUGGUAAAUUCCAUCUAAGGCUAAAUAUUGGCGAGAGACCGAUAGCGAACAAGUACUGUGAAGGAAAGAUGAAAAGCACUUUGAAAAGAGAGUGAAACAGCACGUGAAAUUGUUGAAAGGGAAGGGUAUUGGGCUCGACAUGGGAUUUACGCAUCGUUGCCUCUCGUGGGCGGCGCUCUGGGUUUUUCCUGGGCCAGCAUCGGUUUUCGUUGCAGGAUAAGGACAAUUGGAAUGUGGCUCCUCGGAGUGUUAUAGCCUUUUGUAGAUGCUGCGUAUGGGGACCGAGGGCUGCGGCGGACUCGUUUCGUCUCGGAUGCUGGCACAACGGCGCAAUACCGCCCGUCUUAA